RNAcentral lists this ribosomal RNA (432 nucleotides) under Microbacterium foliorum. Its description in RNAcentral is "bacterial SSU rRNA". It matches the Rfam family "Bacterial small subunit ribosomal RNA", at positions 68 to 510 of the family's 1533-position model. Lineage: Bacteria; Bacillati; Actinomycetota; Actinomycetes; Micrococcales; Microbacteriaceae. The record is from RNAcentral.
GGUGAACACGGAGCUUGCUCUGUGGGAUCAGUGGCGAACGGGUGAGUAACACGUGAGCAACCUGCCCCUGACUCUGGGAUAAGCGCUGGAAACGGCGUCUAAUACUGGAUACGAGUAGCGGCCGCAUGGUCAGUUACUGGAAAGAUUUAUUGGUUGGGGAUGGGCUCGCGGCCUAUCAGCUUGUUGGUGAGGUAAUGGCUCACCAAGGCGUCGACGGGUAGCCGGCCUGAGAGGGUGACCGGCCACACUGGGACUGAGACACGGCCCAGACUCCUACGGGAGGCAGCAGUGGGGAAUAUUGCACAAUGGGCGGAAGCCUGAUGCAGCAACGCCGCGUGAGGGAUGACGGCCUUCGGGUUGUAAACCUCUUUUAGCAGGGAAGAAGCGAAAGUGACGGUACCUGCAGAAAAAGCACCGGCUAACUACGUGCCA